Neogale vison (American mink) is the source of this 107-nucleotide small nuclear RNA. The record is from Ensembl. Lineage: Eukaryota; Metazoa; Chordata; Mammalia; Carnivora; Mustelidae.
AUGCUCAUUUCAGCAGCACAUACACUAAAACCAGAACGAUACAGAUAACAUUAUCAUGACCCCUACACAAGGAAGACAUGAAAAUUUGUGAACCACUACACAUUAAA